UGGGGAAUAUUGCACAAUGGGCGAAAGCCUGAUGCAGCAACGCCGCGUGAGUGAUGAAGGCCUUCGGGUUGUAAAGCUCUGUCUUCUGGGACGAUAAUGACGGUACCAGAGGAGGAAGCCACGGCUAACUACGUGCCAGCAGCCGCGGUAAUACGUAGGUGGCAAGCGUUGUCCGGAUUUACUGGGCGUAAAGGAUGCGUAGGCGGAUACUUAAGUCAGAUGUGAAAAUCCCGGGCUUAACUUGGGAACUGCAUUUGAAACUGGGUAGCUAGAGGGCGGGAGAGGAAAGUGGAAUUCCUAGUGUAGCGGUGAAAUGCGUAGAGAUUAGGAAGAACACCAGUGGCGAAGGCGACUUUCUGGACCGUAACUGACGCUGAGGCAUGAAAGCGUGGGGAGCAAACA
Molecule: ribosomal RNA, 402 nt
Filed under: uncultured bacterium
Lineage: Bacteria
Description: bacterial SSU rRNA
Rfam family: Bacterial small subunit ribosomal RNA
Source: RNAcentral